GGUUCGAUUCUGGCUCAGAUUGAACGCUGGCGGGAUGCUUUACACAUGCAAGUCGAACGGCAGCACGGACUUCGGUCUGGUGGCGAGUGGCGAACGAGUGAGUAAUGUAUCGGAACGUGCCUAGUAGCGAGAGGAUAACUGCGCGAAAGCGUAGCUAAUACCACAUACGCCCUUCGGGGAAAGCGGGGGACCUUCGGGCCUCGCACUAAUGCAGAGCAGCCGAUAUCGGAUUAGCUAGUUGGUGGGAGUAACGGCUCACCGAGGCGACGAUCCGUAGCUGGUUUGAGAGGACGACCAGCCACACUGGGACUGAGACACGGCCCAGACUCCUACGGGAGGCAACAGUGGGGAAUUUUGGACAAUGGGGGAAACCCUGAUCCAGCCAUCCCGCGUGUGCGAUGAAGGCCUUCGGGUUGUAAAGCACUUUUGGCAGGAAAGAAACGGCACGGGAUAAUACCCCGUGCAGCUGACGGUACCUGCAGAAUAAGCACCGGCCUUUAACUACGUGCCAGCAGCCGCGGUAAUACGGCAGGUGCAAGCGUUAAUCGGAAUUACUGGGCGUAAAGCGUGCCAGGCGGUUCGGAAAAGAAGAUGUAAAAUCCCAGAGCUUAACUUUGGAACUGCAUUUUUAACUACCGAGCUAGAGUGUGUCCAGAGGGAGGUGGAAUUCCCCGCGUGUAGCAGUGAAAUGCGUAGAUAUGCGGAGGAACACCGUUGGCGAAGGCAGCCUCCUGGGAUAACACUGACGCUCAUGCACGAAAGCGUGGGGAGCAAACAGGAUUAGAUACCCUGGUAGUCCACGCCCUAAACGAUGUCAACUAGCUGUUGGGGCCUUCGGGCCUUGGUAGCGCAGCUAACGCGUGAAGUUGACCGCCUGGGGAGAUACGGUCGCAGAUUAAAACUCAAAGUUGACGGGACCCUUUGGCGGUGGAUGAUGUGGAUUAAUUCGAUGCAACGCGAAAAAACCUUCACCUCCCGCCAACAUGUCUGGAAUCCCGAAGAGAUUUGCGGAGUGCUCGCAAGAACCGGAACACAGGUGCUGCACUUCUUCAUCGUCAGCUCGUGUCGUGAGAUGUUGGGUUAAGUCGAUCCGCAACGAAGGCGCAACCCUUGUCAUUAGUUGCUACGAAGGAGCGCUAAUGAGACUGCCGUCGACAAACCGGAGGAAGAGUGGGGAUAAUCUCAGGUCUCAUCAGCCCUUAUGGGUAGGGCUUCACACGUCGUACAAUGGUCGGGACAGAGGGUCAUGUUGGCCCGCGAGGGAGCCAAUCCCAGAAACCCGAUCGUAGUCCGGAUCGCAGUCUACAACUCGACUGCGUGGAGUCGGAAUCGCUAGUAAUCAUGAAUCCAGCAUGUCGCGGUCUGAAUACGUUCCAGGUCUUGUACACACCGCCCGUCACACCAUGGGAGUGGGUUUUACCAGAAGUAGUUAGCCCUAACCGUAAGGAGGCGGUUACCACGGUAGGAUUCAUGACUGGGGUGAAGUCGUAACAAGGUAA
Molecule: ribosomal RNA, 1499 nt
Filed under: uncultured Bordetella sp.
Lineage: Bacteria; Pseudomonadati; Pseudomonadota; Betaproteobacteria; Burkholderiales; Alcaligenaceae
Description: partial 16S-23S ribosomal RNA intergenic spacer
Rfam family: Bacterial small subunit ribosomal RNA
Source: RNAcentral